Molecule: ribosomal RNA, 257 nt
Filed under: uncultured bacterium
Lineage: Bacteria
Description: partial small subunit ribosomal RNA
Rfam family: Bacterial small subunit ribosomal RNA
Source: RNAcentral
AGGACGAACGCUGGCGGCGUGCUUAACACAUGCAAGUCGAGCGGUGAUCCUCCUUCGGGAGGUGAUCAGCGGCGAACGGGUGAGUAACACGUGGGCAACCUGCCCCUCACACUGGGAUAACCUCGGGAAACCGGGGCUAAUACCGGAUACGACCUCGAGCGGCAUCUCUUGAGGUGGAAGGCUCCGACGGUGAGGGAUGGGCCCGCGGCCUAUCAGCUUGUUGGUGGGGUAAUGGCCUACCAAGGCGACGACGGGUA